RNAcentral lists this ribosomal RNA (303 nucleotides) under uncultured bacterium. RNAcentral's name for it is "bacterial SSU rRNA". It matches the Rfam family "Bacterial small subunit ribosomal RNA", at positions 30 to 333 of the family's 1533-position model. The record is from RNAcentral.
AUUGAACGCUGGCGGCAUGCCUUACACAUGCAAGUCGAACGGCAGCACGGGAGCAAUCCUGGUGGCGAGUGGCGAACGGGUGAGUAAUAUAUCGGAACGUGCCCAGUCGUGGGGAUAACGUAGCGAAAGCUACGCUAAUACCGCAUACGAUCUAUGGAUGGAAAGCGGGGGGAUCGCAAGACCUCGCGCGAUUGGAGCGGCCGAUAUCAGAUUAGGUAGUUGUGAGGUAAAGGCUCACCAAGCCGACGAUCUGUAGCUGGUCUGAGAGGACGACCAGCCACACUGGGACUGAGACACGGCCCA